This 608-nucleotide ribosomal RNA is filed under the name uncultured fungus. Its description in RNAcentral is "eukaryotic LSU rRNA". The stretch from base 145 to 298 matches the Rfam family "5.8S ribosomal RNA". Lineage: Eukaryota; Fungi. The record is from RNAcentral.
CUGCUUGCUUCUUCGCAGCAAUGCGGUUUGGGGGCGUCUGCAUAACCUGCUCGCGCCCCUGUGUUUCAAAAGGCUAUGUUUUAACAUACACUAUAAAGUUACAGAAUGUCUUUUAAAGGCUGCUUGCAGUCAUUAAACCUAUACAACUUUCAGCAACGGAUCUCUUGGCUCUCCCAUCGAUGAAGAACGCAGCGAAAUGCGAUAAGUAAUGUGAAUUGCAGAAUUCAGUGAAUCAUCGAAUCUUUGAACGCACCUUGCGCCCUUUGGUAUUCCGAAGGGCAUGCCUGUUUGAGUGUCAUUAAAUUAUCAACCUUGCUUGCUUUUACUAGCUCGCUUGGCUUGGAUGUGGGGGUUUGCUGGCUUCCUUCAGUGGAUGGAUGGUCUGCUCCCCUUAAAUGCAUUAGUGGGAUCUCUUGUGGACCGUCACUUGGUGUGAUAAUUAUCUAUGCCAUAUGACUUUGAAGCAAAUUUUAUGAGAACCUGCUUAUAACCGUCUCUCGCAGCAAUGCGGAUUGGGGGUCUGAGUCCUUUAUUUGGGCACUUCCCUUGUCGGACAACUUUUUUAACAUUUUGACCUCAAAUCAGGUAGGACUACCCGCUGAACUUAA